This 276-nucleotide ribosomal RNA is filed under the name uncultured bacterium. RNAcentral's name for it is "partial 16S ribosomal RNA". It matches the Rfam family "Bacterial small subunit ribosomal RNA", at positions 334 to 607 of the family's 1533-position model. The record is from RNAcentral.
UGUCCCUACGGGAGGCAGCAGUGAGGAAUAUUGGUCAAUGGGCGAGAGCCUGAACCAGCCAAGUCGCGUGAGGGAAGACGGUCCUAUGGAUUGUAAACCUCUUUUGCCGGGGAGCAAAGAGCGGUACGUGUACCGCAUCGAGAGUACCCGGAGAAAAAGCAUCGGCUAACUCCGUGCCAGCAGCCGCGGUAAUACGGAGGAUGCGAGCGUUAUCCGGAUUUAUUGGGUUUAAAGGGUGCGCAGGCGGGCUGUUAAGCCGGCGGUAAAAAUUCAGGG